GGACAUCGACAGUCUUGUUGCAAGUGCUCGUUGAGGGUGGCCACAUUCAAGUAAAAUCUCUGGAUUUUAAUAAGAACCAGAGACAAACAACAGCCGAACGUUUAUAAACUGCUCCUACGUUACACAGUAGUAGCAGAAAGGGCUGCUGCUGCUGCUACUACUACUACUACUACUACUACUACUGCUGCUGCUACUGCUGCUACUUGAGGAGCAGGCUGGACCUUUUUACAGCUGAUGAACCACCACGUCCCAAUAUGACCUCAGGCACCCGUGGUAAACAUCCCGACUCCAGAUUUGCUGUACUCGGAAAACCUGGAGUGGGCAAAUCCGCCCUUGUGGUUCGAUUCUUGACCAAGCGUUUUAUAUGGGAGUACGAUUCAUCGCAGGAACGGACAUAUCGACACCAAACAGUGAUAGAUGAAGAACAGGUGCUGUUGGAGAUAUUGGACACUGCAGGGCCCGCCAAGG
Molecule: long non-coding RNA, 468 nt
Organism: Octopus bimaculoides (California two-spot octopus)
Lineage: Eukaryota; Metazoa; Mollusca; Cephalopoda; Octopoda; Octopodidae
Source: RefSeq, a predicted model, not a curated record